This 162-nucleotide unclassified non-coding RNA is filed under the name uncultured Chaetomiaceae. Its description in RNAcentral is "sequence contains ITS2". The record is from RNAcentral. Lineage: Eukaryota; Fungi; Ascomycota; Sordariomycetes; Sordariales.
CAACCCCCAAGCCCUGGCCGCUUGGUGUUGGAGCCCUACGGCAGCACGCCGUAGGCUCCGAAAAUCAGUGGCGGGCCCGCUGGAAUCCCGAACGCAGUAGCUUAGUUCUCGUUCAGGGCGUCUCGGCGGGUCUCUAGCCGUAAAACCCCCACUACAGAAAGG